RNAcentral lists this ribosomal RNA (208 nucleotides) under uncultured bacterium. RNAcentral describes it as "partial 16S ribosomal RNA". It matches the Rfam family "Bacterial small subunit ribosomal RNA", at positions 568 to 775 of the family's 1533-position model. The record is from RNAcentral.
UUCGUAGGUGGCCCGCUAAGUCACACGUGAAAUCCCUCAGCUUAACUGGGGAACUGCGUGUGAGACUGGCGGGCUUGAGUGCAGGAGAGGAACGCGGAAUUCCAGGUGUAGCGGUGAAAUGCGUAGAUAUCUGGAGGAACACCGGUGGCGAAGGCGGCGUUCUGGACUGUAUCUGACACUGAGGAACGAAAGCCAGGGGAGGCAAACG